Lolium perenne is the source of this 2400-nucleotide non-coding RNA. The record is from RefSeq and is a predicted model, not a curated record. Lineage: Eukaryota; Viridiplantae; Streptophyta; Magnoliopsida; Poales; Poaceae.
UUUUCUUGUUUUAAUAAAAGCCGAAGCAACGAUAUUUGAUUUAUUUUUGAACAACUAGUUUUAACUAAUAAUAAGUUUUUGAAAAUGUUUGUAAAUUUCCUUUCGAGUUCCUAUCUUGUUUUAUUUCUUCUACCUAUCCCUUUUUCCUUCUUCCUACUUUCUUUGGGAUAUUCCCAGAAAUUCAAAGCAAGGGCUGUAUCUCUGUCUGGGUCAUCUCACGUAAAGCCCAUCACCAAAGCCUUUUCCUCACCGAGCAAUGAGAUGCUCGUCUCUCUCCUCAUCUCUGUACAGUCACACAGGAAAACGUGAUCCUCCUCACAUGGCCGACGCCACCUCCAGCCAUCGCACCCACAGCUCCCUCCCCUCUUUAUUUCCCCACCGAAGCCAGAGCAAACCCUAACCCGCAUCCUCUCCAUCCUCGUGCCGCCACCCCUUCUUUCCCCCUCGACCACGCAAACGAGCGAGACGAAAGUUUCAGAGAAAACAACGAACACCUCCGCCGCUGCAUCACCGUCGCCCCAUCGUCUCCGACCAUCUUUCGCCGAACCAUGGCCACCACGAGCUUCUCCUCGUCACGCUAAGGCUCCUCGACACACGCGCGCAACAAAUCGAGUUCGAAAUCGACGACAAGGAUCGCUUCUCCAUCUCCGCCGCCGGCAGAAAUCACGUGUUUCCGGCCGCCUCCGACGUCGCCCACCCCCGUCGAGGUGUUCAUCAUCUUCCUGAUACGCUGCCGACGUUCGUUUUCACCGCCGUCGCCUGGAGCCGUCGUCCACUUGCCGCUGCGGUGCUCUCUGGCGAGUACCUCGUCGUCUCUGCUUCAUCUCCGUCCUUGUCGAGCUCACCUGCCUCGCCACCGACUUCCUGGCAUUUGCUUCUUCCCGGAUAGGAUCGCGAAGUGUUGAUGUGAGAUACGACGAGUUCUCCGACAAGUUCUUCUGCAGCUUUCCACAGGCGAGCCCACCCCUUCACCUAUUUUACUUUUACAUGCUCUUUUGAUCUAUUGCUAUCCUUAUGUUGCGAUUCUGUUGUGUCACGUGUCCUAUCCACCUGUUACCUAUAUGUCCGAGAUACACCUCCUCGCCCUACCUAUUGUUUGUUGUUUGCCAGCUUUGCGAGUCGUAGGCGAGUUUAGGGUCUUGUUGAUAUCUCGAGAUGUUCGGGAUAUCUUGUUGGGAGGUUUUCACAUGCUUUAUCAGUUGUUGGAGAUACACAUGCUUUACUUAAUUGUUAACAACUAAAAUUGUAAGCAGAGGCAUCUGUGAGCCCCUUUGUGAAAGCAUCGGAACUUUGACUUGCUAAUGUCCCCUAGGACCCGAGUUCUUGUUAUCUGUUCCGAGAUUGAGCGCUCUACCCGUACGUGGGGGAAUGGGACCCCCAUCACCCACUACCUUUCCUCGAGUCUGUUUAUUGGGAGCCACAACCUUGGUUUUAUUUGCCCAUAUGCACGAUGCACGAUUUACUUCCUGUUGCCUUCGGGUGUUUAUUACUGUACUGUACUCAUAACGCGGAUAGACUUAUCUUGUGCCUGGUCAUAAGUGCCCGCCUGGACUAUGUCGCAAACCUCUGGGUCCGUAUCGGAGUAUGGCCAAACUUCGUCACGGGUAGCUUAGUUGGGUGGCUCCCAUUAAACUUUCUCUUGCAUUGGGAACGGUCUUGAUGUGAGACUCCACCUGUAGUAAGUGGGUCCGAGCAUGCGUAUGGUUACAUUUGGGCAACCCCUGCAGGGUGUACAUCUUAUCGAUAAGCCGCGUCCGCGGUUAUGGACGACUUGGAAUUGUAUAGCUUGAUCAUAGAACAACUUACACCUUAUUUCAUGUUGUUAAUAAAUUGCUAAUAAAACCCUUUCAAAAGUGUGUGUGCCUUUGCAAUACAUCUUGGCGAAGGGGGAUCGCAUCGGCUGUGUUAUGUUUGCAGAGUAUAGAACUGUUACCUUGUGCGCUCUCUUAUCUUCUCUGAGUAGACGGAUGUUGUAGCGAGUCUCUAUUGGAUAGUAGCUUUGCUGCCGCUAAACUCCACAUAUAGCCGGGUGAAGUUUAUACCGCCCACCAGCGAGCAUAGCUGGUCUUGUCUCGCAAGUACGUGCCAAUGGUACUUACCCUCGCCUUCCUUUCUUUUUGUCUCCUCCCCCUUCUGUCGGCAACCGAUGGCCCGACUUCGACAGGUACGAGAUGACGACGUUAGCAAGGUUACCCUUCUGGCUUGGCCUGGGCAGGGUCAUGGACGCCACUGGUUAUCUUCAGGACUCUUAGUCCAAUUUGUAUCUUGUCCGUACUCGGACAUAUUCGAUCUUCUGUAUGAUUUGGAUCUUUGUAUUGUAUAUUUGUAUCUUGACUCGUUGGAGUCGUUGUUGUAAUAUAUGUAUCUUGUGGGCUCUAUUGUAAUCCUGUUGUAAUGUUA